Molecule: ribosomal RNA, 439 nt
Filed under: uncultured bacterium
Lineage: Bacteria
Description: partial 16S ribosomal RNA
Rfam family: Bacterial small subunit ribosomal RNA
Source: RNAcentral
CUACGGGCCGCAGCAGUGAGGAAUAUUGCACAAUGGGGGGAACCCUGAUGCAGCAACGCCGCGUGGAGGAUGACGGGUUUGGGGUGGGAAAAUAGUUUUAUAUGUCGAGAAAAUGACGGUAGCAUAUGAAUAACCACCGGCUAACUCCGUGCCAGCAGCCGCGGUAAUACGGAGGGUGCAAGCGUUACUCGGAAUCACUGGGCGUAAAGGACGCGUAGGCGGGUUGGAAAGUCAGGUGUGAAAUCCUACAGCUUAACUGUAGAACUGCACUUGAAACUUCUAAUCUAGAGUAUGGGAGGGGGAGAUGGAAUUAGUGGUGUAGGGGUAAAAUCCGUAGAUAUCACUAGGAAUACCUAAAGCGAAGGCGAUCUCCUGGAACAUUACUGACGCUAAGGCGUGAAAGCGUGGGGAGCAAACAGGAUUAGAUACCCCCGUAGUC